AUGAGGAGUGGAUACUGAACGCAACACUACACCAUAGCUCUAUGACAGGACUGGACACAGAACACCCCUACACCACAGCUCCAUCUACAGAAUAUGACAGCCAGCGACCUCCAGCUGAACUCUGAUUCACAGAGGUCGACGCCUCCCUCAAGAAGCAGGGGCCCCUUCAACAGCAUCAAGGACAAUGACCCAACACACCUCCAGGCUGUGCAAGGGCUAUUUGACCA
Molecule: long non-coding RNA, 227 nt
Organism: Salvelinus namaycush (lake trout)
Lineage: Eukaryota; Metazoa; Chordata; Actinopteri; Salmoniformes; Salmonidae
Exons: 3
Source: RefSeq, a predicted model, not a curated record